This 104-nucleotide small nuclear RNA is filed under the name Castor canadensis (American beaver). The record is from RNAcentral. Lineage: Eukaryota; Metazoa; Chordata; Mammalia; Rodentia; Castoridae.
GUGCUCACUUAUGUAGCACAUAUGCCAAAAUUGGAAUGAUACAGAGAUUAAUAUGAUCUCUGCACAAGAAUGACACACAAAUUUGUGAAGUAGUCAUUAUUUUU